CAGUAGCCGCGGGAAUACGUAGGUGGCAAGCGUUGUCCGGAAUUACUGGGCGUAAAGCGUGCGCAGGCGGUUGUGUAAGACAGGUGUGAAAUCCCCGGGCUUAACCUGGGAACUGCGCUUGUGACUGCACAGCUAGAGUAUGGCAGAGGGGGGUGGAAUUCCACGUGUAGCAGUGAAAUGCGUAGAGAUGUGGAGGAACACCGAUGGCGAAGGCAGCCCCCUGGGCCAAUACUGACGCUCAUGCACGAAAGCGUGGGGAGCAAACAGGAUUAGAUACCCCUGUAGUCCCUGUCUCUUAUAC
RNAcentral lists this ribosomal RNA (301 nucleotides) under uncultured bacterium. Its description in RNAcentral is "partial 16S ribosomal RNA". It matches the Rfam family "Bacterial small subunit ribosomal RNA", at positions 509 to 807 of the family's 1533-position model. The record is from RNAcentral.